Molecule: non-coding RNA, 140 nt
Organism: Coffea arabica (coffee)
Lineage: Eukaryota; Viridiplantae; Streptophyta; Magnoliopsida; Gentianales; Rubiaceae
Source: RefSeq, a predicted model, not a curated record
UGAAUCACAGGGCUACCUAAAUGUUUUGACCGGAUAUGAGGAUGGUUCCAUGGCUUGGUGGGAUGUAAGGAAUCCAGGGGUUCCAAUGAAUUCUGUUAAGUUUCAUAAAGAACCAGUUUUGAGCCUUUGUAUUGAUGCGG